This 277-nucleotide ribosomal RNA is filed under the name uncultured prokaryote. RNAcentral's name for it is "partial 16S ribosomal RNA". It matches the Rfam family "Bacterial small subunit ribosomal RNA", at positions 524 to 800 of the family's 1533-position model. The record is from RNAcentral.
GACGAACCGUCCAAACGUUAUUCGGAAUUACUGGGCUUAAAGGGUGCGUAGGCGGCUCUGCAAGUUGGGUGUGAAAUCCCUCGGCUCAACCGAGGAAUGGCGCCCAAAACUGUGGAGCUCGAGGGAGACAGAGGUGAGUGGAACUUGUGGUGGAGCGGUGAAAUGCGUUGAUAUCACAAGGAACACCGGUGGCGAAAGCGGCUCACUAGGUCUCUUCUGACGCUGAGGCACGAAAGCUGGGGGAGCGAACGGGAUUAGAUACCCGCGUAGUCCCUGA